UAUGAUAAGUAAACUCAUCAGAAGACAGAC
RNAcentral lists this non-coding RNA (30 nucleotides) under Rattus norvegicus (Norway rat). Lineage: Eukaryota; Metazoa; Chordata; Mammalia; Rodentia; Muridae. The record is from RNAcentral.